CAACAGGCCUUUUGUAAGUAAUUCUGUAAGGCCACAUCAUUUUGAUUUAAAAUUGGUG
This is a non-coding RNA of Charadrius vociferus (killdeer), 58 nucleotides long. NCBI's taxonomy places the organism in Eukaryota, Metazoa, Chordata, Aves, Charadriiformes, Charadriidae. The record is from Rfam.